Molecule: non-coding RNA, 73 nt
Organism: Zootermopsis nevadensis
Lineage: Eukaryota; Metazoa; Arthropoda; Insecta; Blattodea; Termopsidae
Source: Rfam
GCCACGGUGGUCUAGCGGUUAGAACGCUGGCCUUGUAAUCCUGGGGUCUCGGGUUCGAAUCCCGGCGGUGCCC